GACUAGCUCACCUGGAUAGAGCGUCGUGCUAAUAACGCGAAGGUAUCGGGUUCGAUCCCAGUAGAACA
This 68-nucleotide transfer RNA is filed under the name Flammulina velutipes KACC42780. RNAcentral's name for it is "tRNA-Ile (AAT) (tRNA-Ile-AAT-2-1)". Lineage: Eukaryota; Fungi; Basidiomycota; Agaricomycetes; Agaricales; Physalacriaceae. The record is from RNAcentral.